GGCCGCGGGAAUUCGAUUAGGCCUAACACAUGCAAGUCGAGCGGUAGAGAGAAGCUUGCUUCUCUUGAGAGCGGCGGACGGGUGAGUAAUGCCUAGGAAUCUGCCUGGUAGUGGGGGAUAACGUUCGGAAACGGACGCUAAUACCGCAUACGUCCUACGGGAGAAAGCAGGGGACCUUCGGGCCUUGCGCUAUCAGAUGAGCCUAGGUCGGAUUAGCUAGUUGGUGAGGUAAUGGCUCACCAAGGCAACGAUCCGUAACUGGUCUGAGAGGAUGAUCAGUCACACUGGAACUGAGACACGGUCCAGACUCCUACGGGAGGCAGCAGUGGGGAAUAUUGGACAAUGGGCGAAAGCCUGAUCCAGCCAUGCCGCGUGUGUGAAGAAGGUCUUCGGAUGUAAAUUAAAGGAAGUUGGGAGGAAGGGCAGUUACCUAAUACGUGA
This 441-nucleotide ribosomal RNA is filed under the name uncultured bacterium. RNAcentral describes it as "bacterial SSU rRNA". It matches the Rfam family "Bacterial small subunit ribosomal RNA", at positions 39 to 472 of the family's 1533-position model. The record is from RNAcentral.